UUUUAGCCCUGAUGGAAGCGACAUCCUUUUUUGUUCUCGAUUUAACCAAAACUUACAAAAAAGAUACAGCGCACAGCAGGAAUUAGC
This 87-nucleotide small RNA is filed under the name Flavobacterium haoranii. Its description in RNAcentral is "Flavobacterium sp. LQY-7 Flavo-1 RNA". It matches the Rfam family "Flavo-1 RNA". The record is from Rfam by way of RNAcentral. Lineage: Bacteria; Pseudomonadati; Bacteroidota; Flavobacteriia; Flavobacteriales; Flavobacteriaceae.